CCUCCCCCUAGCGGUGUCGCAGGUGUGGCUGCUGUGUCUCCUGUGUGUCCGCAGGUGGCAGGAGGGAGAGAGGCUAUGUCUAUGCUCAGUGUUCUGACCUAUGAACUUCUGAGUGAUUGCUGGCUUCACAUU
This is a small nucleolar RNA of Meriones unguiculatus (Mongolian gerbil), 132 nucleotides long. The record is from Ensembl. NCBI's taxonomy places the organism in Eukaryota, Metazoa, Chordata, Mammalia, Rodentia, Muridae.